This 116-nucleotide ribosomal RNA is filed under the name Pteropus alecto (black flying fox). Lineage: Eukaryota; Metazoa; Chordata; Mammalia; Chiroptera; Pteropodidae. The record is from RNAcentral.
GUCUACGGCCAUGCCACCAUGAACAAGCCUGAUGUCUGAUCUUGGAAGCUAAGCAGGGUCAAGCCUGGUUAGAACUUGAAUUGGAGACCAUCAAAGAAGACCAGGUGCUAUAAGCA